UACGGAGGGUGCAAGCGUUAUCCGGAUUCACUGGGUUUAAAGGGUGCGUAGGCGGACAGGUAAGUCAGUGGUGAAAUCUCUGGGCUUAACCCAGAAACUGCCGUUGAUACUAUUUGUCUUGAAUAUCCUGGAGGUAGGCGGAAUAUGUUAUGUAGCGGUGAAAUGCUUAGAUAUGACAUAGAACACCGAUAGCGAAGGCAGCUUACUACAGGAUGAUUGACGCUGAGGCACGAAAGCGUGGGGAGCAAACAGG
RNAcentral lists this ribosomal RNA (253 nucleotides) under uncultured bacterium. RNAcentral's name for it is "partial 16S ribosomal RNA". It matches the Rfam family "Bacterial small subunit ribosomal RNA", at positions 524 to 776 of the family's 1533-position model. The record is from RNAcentral.